AUAAUCAGUUCUCCCUGUCCAUGGUGGACAGGACAAGUGAUGUGCUUAGUGAAUGCUACAAGGAAAAUUCAGGUUAAAUAUGAAAAUGAUAAGGAUGGAGAAGCAUAGAAAUAGGCUCCCUGGGGAGGCAGGAACAAUGAUGAGGGUAGAGCUCACUCUGCCAUGGGGCCCACGGACCCUUCCAUCACUGUGAUUCAGUGAUUACAGCAACAUUAGAGAACUGGGAGCUCCCUAUCUUGGCUUCAUCUUAUCUCUUUAGAAUGGGUGUCUCCUUAAGCUGCAUUGUAUAUUCGUCACUUUUUCCUUUGAUUUAGCAUGAUUUGUGUUGAGCAAUCUGAAUGAGCAAGAUGCCUUCUUUCUGUACUCUGAGAUAAUACCACUAAUAAUUAUAAUUUCAUUUACAAAAGAAAUAUAUAAAUCUCUAUAUAAGACUUCCCCACUUACAGUAACAUGUUUAUCUUCAAGUAGUGCUGUGAUUUCUAAGGGAUUUAUCUAGGAGUAAGGAUGUGUGUCUCUAUUACUAUUGUGAAACUAGCAUUAACCCUUUCCACGUUAGCAGGGUCAUGCUGAACCACAGGAAAGACCCAUCCCUGUUCACAAAAGCGCCACUCGUUCCUUAUCUGGGCUCUCGAGAACAAGAAUUUCCUCUGCUUAUAUCUGUACAAAACCUGCCUCACACAUGGGACAUAGACUUGGCUGGAGUCCCCAAAUCCAUUGUAGUGCAAAUACAGAAACAAUCAGUGAAAUCCUUCCUAAAUCUCCAUGCCUUCCUUACAAUAAUAAUUAAAGGUGAAUUAAAUAAUGACAGUCAGGGAGGUGGUCAUGGAGGUUCAGGCCCACUGAAAGUCAAGCGAUAUAUGCCAUGUUCAAGCACCCGGACUCCCAACAGAAGCCAGAGGUCCGAGUCAGGUAGCACUGCUCCCUUCCAGGCACUGCACAUCCUUGCUGCUGACAGAGGGCAGCCGCACAUUUAUCUCAAAGAAAUCACCAGGCAUCACUCUUAUCUCUCCCUUAAUUUGCAAGAGUCCAAUGUGCAGGUUAUUUCUGUUUCAGCUGCUUCUAGUGAUAGGGUUUCAGCUCCAAAACUGGCUUUCCCCAGGACAGGGUUCAGCCACUUGAGUAAGGUUUAUUCUGGGCAGAGAAGGGAUGGGAUAGGUAAAGAUGGAUAUGUCCUACCCCUUGUCUCCAGGCUGUGCCACUCUGCACAAAGCAUCCAGGUUUUCUGGCACAGAGAGAGCCCAGAAGCAGAGGAGCAGGGACAAUUUCACCUGCCAACGUGGGGGAGUGAGAAGUUGUUCUAACUUCAGUCUCUGCACGGGACAGUUUCUGCUCUUUAUCCAGUGGCUUGACAGGAUAGAAGACGUCAAACAUACAAACAGACUCAACACAGAGUGGUUAGAGCCACAGUCCUGGCAGCGACAGCACCUUUCUCAGAGGGUCUGAGGUCGCCCAGGUGGAGGUGGAGUGGUUCCCACUGUCCCCCCACCCUGGGCAAGAGCACUGACUCCCGAGGAAGGCCUGAGGCAGCUCUCCCUUGUCCCUGGGCAAAGGGAUGCUCGACUUCAGCAUCAGCUCUGCCGGGCACCGCGGGACAGUCCGGGGCAUCUACAGAAGCUCAGCUUGGAGAAACCGAAGUGACACACGGACGAGCCUUCUGGGACCGGGGAAUCUGCUCCACGUCCCCCCACCCCACCCCGCGCUUUCGCCCGUUGUCCCCCUCCCGGUGCCGCGGCU
This 1734-nucleotide long non-coding RNA is filed under the name Calidris pygmaea (Spoon-billed sandpiper). RNAcentral's name for it is "lncRNA (ENSCPGG00000005024.1)". The record is from RNAcentral. Lineage: Eukaryota; Metazoa; Chordata; Aves; Charadriiformes; Scolopacidae.